UGCGUAGACGGUUAUGUAAGUCGGGUGUGAAAGCCCCGGGCUCAACCUGGGAAUUGCAUUCGAGACUGUGUAGCUAGGGUACGGAAGAGGGAAGCGGAAUUUCAGGUGUAGCGGUGAAAUGCGUAGAUAUCUGAAGGAACACCAGUGGCGAAAGCGGCUUCCUGGUCCAGUACCGACGUUCAGGCACGAAAGCGUGGGAGCAAACA
This 206-nucleotide ribosomal RNA is filed under the name uncultured bacterium. Its description in RNAcentral is "partial 16S ribosomal RNA". It matches the Rfam family "Bacterial small subunit ribosomal RNA", at positions 568 to 774 of the family's 1533-position model. The record is from RNAcentral.